GAAGAUCUGCUCAGCUCAGCUCUCUCUGCGCUCGAUCCGUCAAGUACUUGUCUUCUCCCUCCUUCGUUUCGCCGUUGUUGCCUCUUUUCCUGGUCCCAAUCAUCAACAUAUUACCACUUCCUUUUGAUUUCAUCGUGGUAAAAUUGAAUUCUAAAUCUCUAUUUUUUUCCAUUUAAAUUCGUAUGAUUUAUCUUCAGUUAUUUUAUUUGUCUGAAAAAUCUCUAGGGGAAAGUAUAUAAGUUGUUUGGUUUGAAUUAUCGGAAGCCAGAAAGGGCGCCACCGGCAUGUCCCUACAGGCUACAUGCCUGCUGCCGACAACAAGAUCAAUGAUAUAGUAUGUGCAUAUUUUUGUUGUAUGUAUACAUACAUAUAUAUGGCUAAUUUGGGGUUUUUGCUUAUUUUGUUUUAUUCUACUGACAACCUGUUAAUGUAAAUUGCCUUUGAAAAAUUGUUGCUUAAAUACUUGUUGGAUUAGUUUAGUGUUCAAACUUAAAACUAAAUGCCUACAGUAUAAGGAUAAAGUUAAAUGCGUUAUUCCGGAAUUUUAAUUUUUAAGUUAGUGCCAUUAAUUUUUUUAGUACUAGUAGUAGACUAGGAAAGGAACCUACGUAAUCCUUGAAGAAGGAUAUCCUAUUUAUUAAUAAGUUGUUUAAAUAAGUUAUUUACUAAUAAAUUAUUUAAAUAAUAAGUUGUUUAGCAAUAAUAAUUCGUUUACCAAUAAUAAAGUAUUUACCAAUAAGCUGGUUAAAUAAGUUAUUUACCAAUAAGCUGUUUAAAUUAGUUGUUUACCAAUAACUGUUUAAAUAAUAAGUUGUUUACCAAUAAGGUUUUUAAAUAAGUUGUUUACCAAUAAGUUGUUUAAAUAAUAAGCUGUUUACGAAUAAUAAGUUCCUUAAAUAAUAAGUUGUUUACCAAUAAGUUGUUUAAAUAAUAAGUUGUUUAGCAAUAAGGUUUUUAAAUAAGUUGGUUACCAAUAAACUGUUUAAACAAUAAGUUGUUUACCACUAAGCUAUUUAAAUAAGUUGUUACCAAUAAGUUGUUUAAAUAAUAAGCUAUUUACCAAUAAUAAGUUAUUUACCAAUAAGCAAUUGAAAUAAGUUAUUUUCCAAUAAUAACCUAUAUUGAGUCAAUGUAUCUUUUUAUAAUGUCAUUUUUAAUAAUCUUUAUAUUUUAUUUUAACUUAUAAGUCAUUAUCAGCCGAACACCUUCAUAACUUGUUUUAACUUAAUUUUUUAUUUAUAAGUCAUUAUCAGCCGAACACUUUUACUUAUAAGUCAAUUUAUAUUUGAACUUAUAAGCCAUUUAAAAAUAAGUCACUCCUAAACAGGCGCUCAAACAGUAGAAAGCUACUAAGUUGAUUUGACCAACUUAUAAGUAGUUCCCGAACAGCCCCUUGAUCACAACGCCUUGGGUCAAUCAAUUGAAGCCCCAAUUCAAUCCGUACCAGAGCUUAAUCAACAACCAAACUCCACUCGAUUACAUUCCGAUUCUAGGUUUGCUCCACCUUCCUAUUUCUUUUAUUCAUCUAGCAUAUGUAUAAUUAUUUAGAGGGGGAGGGUUUACUCUGUCUAAUUAUAGUCCGAAUUUGCUUGACCUGUUGAUUCGUUAAAAGUAGUGAUUUUUAUUGUAGU
This 1631-nucleotide long non-coding RNA is filed under the name Panax ginseng (ginseng). RNAcentral describes it as "long non-coding RNA (PGIN_LNC013549)". Lineage: Eukaryota; Viridiplantae; Streptophyta; Magnoliopsida; Apiales; Araliaceae. The record is from RNAcentral.